RNAcentral lists this ribosomal RNA (386 nucleotides) under uncultured bacterium. RNAcentral's name for it is "bacterial SSU rRNA". It matches the Rfam family "Bacterial small subunit ribosomal RNA", at positions 28 to 416 of the family's 1533-position model. The record is from RNAcentral.
GACGAACGCUGGCGGCGUGCUUAACACAUGCAAGUCGAACGGUAAGGCCCUUCGGGUACGACGAGUGGCGAACGGGUGGAGUAACACGUGGGUGAUCUGCCCUGCACUUCGGGAUAAGCCUGGGAAACUGGGUCUAAUACCGGAUAGGACCAUGGACUUCACGGUUUGUGGUGGAAAGCUUUUGCGGUGUGGGAUGGCCCGCGGCCUAUCAGCUUGUUGGUGGGGUAAUGGCCCUACCAAGGCGACGACGGGUAGCCGGCCUGAGAGGGUGUCCGGCCACACUGGGGACUGAGAUACGGCCCAGACUCCUACGGGAGGCAGCAGUGGGGAAUAUUGCACAAUGGGCGCAAGCCUGAUGCAGCGACACCGCGUGAGGGAUGACGGCC